This 253-nucleotide ribosomal RNA is filed under the name uncultured bacterium. RNAcentral's name for it is "partial 16S ribosomal RNA". It matches the Rfam family "Bacterial small subunit ribosomal RNA", at positions 524 to 776 of the family's 1533-position model. The record is from RNAcentral.
UACGGAGGGUGCGAGCGUUGUCCGGAAUCAUUGGGCGUAAAGGGCGCGUAGGUGGCCUGCUAAGCGUGCGGUGAAAGUCGGGGGCUCAACCCCCGAUCGGCCGUGCGAACUGGGAGGCUUGAGCACUGUAGAGGCAGGCGGAAUUCCGGGUGUAGCGGUGGAAUGCGUAGAGAUCCGGAAGAACACCGGUGGCGAAGGCGGCCAUCUGGACCGGCACUGACGCUGAGGCGCGAAAGCGUGGGGAGCAAACAGG